This is a long non-coding RNA of Triticum dicoccoides, 1701 nucleotides long. RefSeq lists it as uncharacterized. The record is from RefSeq and is a predicted model, not a curated record. The transcript is spliced from 6 exons. NCBI's taxonomy places the organism in Eukaryota, Viridiplantae, Streptophyta, Magnoliopsida, Poales, Poaceae.
CUUCUUCUCUCCCUCCUCCGCCUUCCCGUGGUAUCCAUGCUUGCUUCUUCAAGUUCCAGCAACACAUCAGCGUUGUGAGCCUUGAGUACUACUCCCUUCCGGUCUGCAUUGCAGACAAUAGUAGGCGGCGAGAUGAGCAAUUCCUGUGAGUGCUGCAAGAGAUACUGGGCUCAUUUGCAUGGAAAGGUCAAGUGUUUCUUCACGCAGAUUGAUAGUCAUUCUAGGCAUAGCGUGGUCAUACCAGAGAGCUUUGUGAACUAUUUCGGAUGGAAGCUGUCAGGAACCAUUGAACUAGAAGCCCCCAAUGGUAAUGUGUACGAUGUUGGAAUUACUGAGCGUAAGAACAAAACAUUACUCAGAUCUGGGUGGGAGGCGUUUGUUGAUGCCAAUCAUAUAGUAGAGAACGACUCAUUGAUGUUCCGAUACCGUGGAAGUUGUCGCUUCAAGGUUGCGGUCUUUGAUUCUAGUGGUUGUGAGAAAGUGGUGUCCUGUGCUCGCAUACUGACCAAUACCAGUGAUCAAGAACCAAGCACAAAUUCUGCAGACAUUUCGACCAGUUUCAGUGAUGGUAAUACUCCUUCGUCAGCACGAGCACGAUCACCGUAGAAAACGAGCAAAGAAAAAUGUGAUAUCUUAUCCUUCGAAGGGUUCGUCAGAAGACAGUCCUUUUGAGCAUGAGUCAUCUGAAUCCGAUGAUCAGGCGCUCCCAACGCCUCUUUAUGUGUUAUCAGGGAAUUGCUAUGUAACAGAAGAAGAUGAGGCCAAUAUAUUUGCACUUGCCCAGGAAAUUCAACCUGAAAUGCCUCUGCUUGUGGCUAUGAUGACGAAGCUCAGUGUCAAACCAUAUCCUGAUCUGGUAAUAGUAUUAAGUUGACCAAAACAGUGGAAGAUGCACACUCUUUGUAGAUUCAGUAUACUUGGUGAAUUUUCUUUUGUUGCACUUGCAAUAUGUCGUCGUGCUUUACAGUGGAAAUCAUGCUUUAGGGGGAUUUCACUUUUAUUGCAGUAUUAUUGCUCAUGAUUAAAACUUGGAUCGGUUUCAGAUACUGCGUCUUUCUGUGAUCACGUAAUUCCCAAGGAUUACGCACUCGCACACUUUCCACACAAAAACCAGACUAUAUAUCAAACUAAAGCUGCCUGAGCAGAGCAAGAAAUGGUAUCGUGAGUUCCGUGUCAAAUCUGAUGGAGGUCGUUGCAAUCUUAAGGAGUGUGGCUUUGCCCGUGACAAUCAUUUACUGGAGGGAGAUUUGUGCGUCUUUCAGCCCAUGACUAAUCGUAAGGGUAGAACAUUCAAAGUGAUGGUCCAUCUACUUCGCAAAGCAAGUAUUCAUCAUCCCUCCGGUAAAAAUGGUUUGACAAGCAAAAAGAAUGCUCCAACAUUGUGUAUCAAGGAGGAACCAAAUGACGGAGAAGAAACCCCUUCUUUGGGACAUGAAGAACAUGGAAUCAGUGACGAAGAACCCUACAUGAUGCCAAGGGGAAAAUUUUGGAGAAACUUGAAGCCAUCGGGUCAGAUCUGCACAUCUACGUCGCAGUCAUGACCAGGAGCAGUAUCCUCGUCUCCCUAUCCUUUGCCAUAAAGUACUCUGCCACGUACCUUCGGAAGAGGAGCGGGAGUUUGGUGCUUCAGGUGGCGGGGAAGAGCCAGAUAUGGCAUGAUGAGAUGCGCGAAAAGGCGGGUGCCAUGAGGAUACGUGCAGG